UAAUCAUCAAAUUGACAUGCCCUAAAUAAGAUGAGAUAACUGAACUGGGGUCUAAUCUGUAACCCCAAUUGGAAGGGUGUCAAUACCGUACCAUGGGUAAUGACAACCUGAAGAGAAACCUUCCACUGGCAGGUUCCCUAAAUAAGAAUGACGGUACCCUCUACUGGUAGGUAGAGCACCUUAUCAACCCUCAACUGGUAGGUUUAAUGUCCCAACCUACGCUGGCAAUGUAUUUUUGGAACACAAGAAUUGCUCCUAAGGAUCACACCCUCUGCUGGCAGGUGAGCCCCCAUCCUUGGGUUCACUCGGUGCUGAAUCCUACUCCUAAUUAAAAGACAUUGAAC
RNAcentral lists this long non-coding RNA (344 nucleotides) under Capsicum annuum. RNAcentral describes it as "long non-coding RNA (CANN_LNC020231)". Lineage: Eukaryota; Viridiplantae; Streptophyta; Magnoliopsida; Solanales; Solanaceae. The record is from RNAcentral.